This 494-nucleotide ribosomal RNA is filed under the name uncultured bacterium. RNAcentral describes it as "bacterial SSU rRNA". It matches the Rfam family "Bacterial small subunit ribosomal RNA", at positions 43 to 507 of the family's 1533-position model. The record is from RNAcentral.
UGUGCUUUACACAUGCAAGUCGAGCGGAUUUCUCUGUUUGUAGCAAUACAAACGGAGGAAUCGAGCGGCAAACGGGUGAGUAAUGGAUAGGUAAUCUACCAUAAUGACUGGGACUACCCCCUUGAAAAAGGGAUCAAUACCAGAUAAUGUCAGUUAAAUACUUUUAAGCUGAAGAAAGAUGGCCUAAAGCUAUCACAUUAUGACGAGCCUAUCUCCUAUCAGCUUGUUGGUGAGGUAAUGGCUCACCAAGGCUAUGACGGGUAGCUGGUCUGAGAGGAUGGUCAGCCACACUGGAACUUAGACACGGUCCAGACUCCUACGGGAGGCAGCAGUGGGGAAUCUUGGGCAAUGGGCGAAAGCCUGACCCAGCGACACUGCGUGGGUGAUGAAGAUCUUUGGAUUGUAAAACCCUUUUCCUGAAGAUGAAAGGUAGGAUUGAGAAUAUCCUUCCUACCCUGACAGUAUUCAGGGAAUAAGCCCCAGCCAACUACGUG